GGCUCUCUGGGAGAAAGUGGUAGAGAGUCGGACCUGCCCGGUGAAGUUUUAACGGCCGCGGUACUCUGACCGUGCAAAGGUAGCAUAAUCAUUUGCCUUAUAAUUGAAGGCUUGUAUGAAUGGUUUGACGAGAAUACGACUGUCUCUUUAUAAGUUUAUAGAAUUUUAUAUUGAAGUGAGGAAGCUUGAGUCUUAUUGAUAGACAAGAAGACCCUAUCGAGCUUAAGAAAAUGUUAUAAAAGCAAGGUAUACAGUUAAAAGUUAGUUUGUAGUUAACUUUGGUUGGGGCGACUUAGGAACAGUAAAAGCUUCCUAAAUUUAUAAAGUCUACGUAAGUGAUCCAAAAAGUUUUGAUUAAAGGAAUUAGUUACCGUAGGGAUAACAGCAUUAUCUUUUUUAAGAGUUCAUAUCGAAAAAAAGGUUUGUGACCUCGAUGUUGGACCAGAAUAUCCUAAAGAUGUAGCAGUCUUUAAGGGUUGGUCUGUUCGACCGUUAAAAUUCUACG
RNAcentral lists this ribosomal RNA (505 nucleotides) under Mitrella nycteis. Its description in RNAcentral is "partial large subunit ribosomal RNA". It matches the Rfam family "Bacterial large subunit ribosomal RNA", at positions 1817 to 2600 of the family's 2925-position model. Lineage: Eukaryota; Metazoa; Mollusca; Gastropoda; Neogastropoda; Columbellidae. The record is from RNAcentral.